Triticum dicoccoides is the source of this 972-nucleotide long non-coding RNA. RefSeq lists it as uncharacterized. The record is from RefSeq and is a predicted model, not a curated record. The transcript is spliced from 4 exons. Lineage: Eukaryota; Viridiplantae; Streptophyta; Magnoliopsida; Poales; Poaceae.
AUUGCCCAUGAUAUUAUGCAGGAGACAGUGCAUGGCUGUAUGCGGCUCGUGGUCUUGACCUUUCUUCUGGCACUCUGCCUGAGAAUUUGUGCACCGGAGGCGUUGUAACUUCAUAUAUUAUUGAGCAAGUUCCCAAAGAACAAUCACCAGACACUUUAUGUCAAGGGUCUUUUAAGUUUCAACAUGAUAAUGGUGGAACUGAUUCUAUUAGGUGCUCAUUCAAAUUUGCGAAGUCUGUAAUUCACGCAAUGGAAUUAUACUCUGCAGCAAUUCGUGUCUCAAGUCCAGGUCUUGGAAAGAUAUAUUUCACUACAUAUUGUGUUCCUUUGGCUUGCUAUAUCGUGGUGUAUGAACCGUUGUUACAUUAUGAUGAUCUUCAUCAUAACAAAAAAGCAGAAGAUUCAAUCUGUAAUUCCAAUAAAAUUAUAAAAAAGAGGUGGCUAGCUAACAUAAGGAAUAUUUAUGAGGGCCUCGAUUUACUUCACUCAUUGCGUAUAAGUCAUCCUUUUGACAAAUAAGGUGUUUAGUUACAUGUGGUGCAAGACAGAGGACGGAUCUAUUGGAUCUGUAAAGUUAAUAGGUGCAAAUGGAAGCAUGCAAACAAUGACCAAACACAAUAAUACAGUGAGUAGAGAGCGAGAUGAACGUGCGGGUGUUUUACAUUUCCUUGAGAAACUUCGUAUUGCGGAGUGCCCUGAUUAUCCGUCAUUCAGAUGGCUUGUUGAAAACAGUGUUUCUGCUAAAGCGAUUCUGGGGCAUCCACUGCUUACUAAAUCAGACGAGGCCAUAGUUGAUGUAUAUUACUGGUUACACGAGUCCGUGUUAAGCCUAGAUGGAAAUCAACGCAGUAUGUUGCAGAAUGAUCUGAAUGCCAAAUUCCCUACUUUAGCAAAUACUUGGAGAAACACAGUGAAGUCAAGUACUGCUUUUGUGGGAGUGAAAGUUGCUAAGUACUAUGAUGAUCUCUUGGAU